This 478-nucleotide ribosomal RNA is filed under the name uncultured bacterium. Its description in RNAcentral is "partial 16S ribosomal RNA". It matches the Rfam family "Bacterial small subunit ribosomal RNA", at positions 28 to 507 of the family's 1533-position model. The record is from RNAcentral.
GAUGAACGCUGGCGGCGUGCUUAACACAUGCAAGUCGAACGGGAAACCUUUUAAUGAAGCUUCGGCAGAUUUAGCUGGUUUCUAGUGGCGGACGGGUGAGUAACGCGUGGGUAACCUGCCUUAUACAGGGGGAUAACAGUCAGAAAUGACUGCUAAUACCGCAUAAGCGCACAGGACCGCAUGGUCCGGUGUGAAAAACUCCUGUGGUAUAAGAUGGACCCGCGUUGGAUUAGCUUGUUGGUGGGGUAACGGCCAACCAAGGCGACGAUCCACAGCCGGCCUGGGAGAGUGAACGGCCACCUUGGGACUGAGACACGGCCCAGACGCCGACGGGAGGCAGCAGUGGGGAAUAUUGAACAAUGGGGGAUACCCUGAUGAAGCGACGCCGCGGGAAGGAAGAAGUAUCUCGGUAUGUAAACUUCUAUCAGCAGGGAAGAUAGUGACGGUACCUGACUAAGAAGCCCCGGCUAACUACGUG